CAGGGAGACAACAAAAUGUUUAAUAUUAUUAUUUUGUCACCUUAGGUCGAUCGGUAUCUCACAUUCUUAAUUUAUUAAGGAUUUCACUUCCUAAGUUUUUCUAGGUCACACCCAUUAUUUUUCCUGGGCCAUUAGCUCAGGUGGUUAGAGCGCACCCCUGAUAAGGGUGAGGUCCCUGGUUCAAGUCCAGGAUGGCCCAUAUCUCUACGUUGGGGGUAUAGCUCAAUUGGUAGAGCGCCUGCUUUGCAAGCAGGAUGUCAGCGGUUCGAGUCCGCUUACCUCCACUGAUUACCACCUCUUCCAUAAUCUGGAGAAAGGAAAUGUUUUGAGUUGUGAUCAAUUCUGAACGAAUCUAGCUUCCUAAUGAAAUCAUUAAGAUGCUGGACUCAUUGAAUUAAUUUCAUUGUUUUCAGAGAACCUUGACAACUGCAUAGAUUAUUUUUUCAAGACAAUAAGCAUCUUUUAAUGAUGCAGAUUUAUUAUUGGUGCAAAUGCAUUAAUAACAAUUCUAUUAAGCUGAUGCUUCAAUUAUUUGAAGUUAUU
This 543-nucleotide transfer RNA is filed under the name uncultured cyanobacterium. Its description in RNAcentral is "partial 16S-23S ribosomal RNA intergenic spacer". The stretch from base 212 to 284 matches the Rfam family "tRNA". The record is from RNAcentral. Lineage: Bacteria; Bacillati; Cyanobacteriota.